RNAcentral lists this ribosomal RNA (252 nucleotides) under uncultured bacterium. RNAcentral's name for it is "partial 16S ribosomal RNA". It matches the Rfam family "Bacterial small subunit ribosomal RNA", at positions 524 to 776 of the family's 1533-position model. The record is from RNAcentral.
UACGUAGGUCCCGAGCGUUGUCCGGAUUUAUUGGGCGUAAAGCGAGCGCAGGUGGUUUAUUAAGUCUGGUGUAAAAGGCAGUGGCUCAACCAUUGUAUGCAUUGGAAACUGGUAGACUUGAGUGCAGGAGAGGAGUGUGGAAUUCCACGUGUAGCGGUGAAAUGCGUAGAUAUAUGGAGGAACACCGGUGGCGAAAGCGGCUCUCUGGCCUGUAACUGACACUGAGGCUCGAAAGCGUGGGGAGCAAACAGG